This 165-nucleotide ribosomal RNA is filed under the name Pantoea cypripedii. RNAcentral's name for it is "partial 16S ribosomal RNA". It matches the Rfam family "Bacterial small subunit ribosomal RNA", at positions 337 to 507 of the family's 1533-position model. The record is from RNAcentral. Lineage: Bacteria; Pseudomonadati; Pseudomonadota; Gammaproteobacteria; Enterobacterales; Erwiniaceae.
UCCUACGGGAGGCAGCAGUGGGGAAUAUCCACAAUGGGCGCAAGCCUGACGCAGCCCGCCGCGGGUAUGAAGAAGGCCUUGGGUUUGUAAACACUGUCAGCGGGGAGGAAGGUGAGAGGAGAAUAACCUCAUCAAUGACGUACCGCACAAAAGCCCAAUUCCCCG